UAUUAUUCUUCGGGACCUGAAUCGGAUAGUGUCGUUCGGUAGACCUUUAAAUACAAAGGAAGUAGACGAAUAACAUACUUCACAUGACAUGCAUGAUAAUCUCUUUGCUCUGGACUACUAAGUUAUAAAGAGUGCAGUUUAUAUACAGAAUUUUAAGUUUUUGAAUUCACAAUCUUUAAGUGUUCCGCUAUUUCAGCAGGUUAGUUUCUGGAAGUUGAUGUGAUUAGCAGUUCUUUACGCAUAUUUUAUCUUUGCUUCAGAUUGCUUAUUUUUGUUUCUCAUCAGAUCAGAAGCUUCCAAGUACUAGUUCACGACGGAAUAAAUAUAGAUGGAAUAAGUAAUUUCUUUUUUCCUGCUUCUCCUUCUUGUUGCAUCGUUACAAACAGCCCACAGGAUCUUUACAUACAACCUCUGCUGGCUCAGCCAGGAAGGUUUAUGGGUUCAUCUUAUCACUGAACCCUAGCUUGUUGUAGUCUAGUUACUGAGUUCACAAUUAAAUAUUUUUAUACGUUUAUUGGAUUUUCUAACAAAAAUGCCAGGUUUAAGCAAGUCAUUGGGUUCGUCCGAACACGUCUCCUACACUAGCUACUACCUCUGCCCUUGUCUGCACUUCAUGUAUUGCGCCAUUUUUGGGGGCAACAAUGACUAUAUUUAGAUGAACUAUUUCAAGGCGUUUUCACUUUGAUUGCUCUCACAAGUAUACUUAGAGUGGAGAUGUUUGGUUAUCCGGAAAAUGUUUUCUAUAAAAAGAGAGAAGAUGACUUCCGUCACUUCUGAGCGACAAAAACAUUUUCCUUUACAAAUAUUUCAACUCUUAUUACAUAUUACUUGCUCCAGUCUAUCCACAUUAUUGACCUUUAACACUCAAAAUUUUCAUAAAAUCUUCAAUGCAACACACUACUUUUGAUUGUGACAGUACUAUCAAUCUCUAAUAAAUGUAUUUCUAAAAAGUAACCUGUCAAUAAAUUAAUAAAUAAAUGUAGUCCAGAAAAUAGUUUUCAUUCACCAUCCAAAUACCCACAAAAAAUUUUAAGAUAAUUUUUCAGGUAACUGUUUUCGAAGGGGCAUUUGCAUCUAUACUUUUGUGUCACGUUUUAACUUGUGUCUGCUUUGUAAAAAAAAAUUGCAAGCGUACCCGCUUUUUCGCAUAGCAAAGGCAAUCACGCAAAACUUCAGCAUUCUAGUAGUCGGGCCUGAAGUUCAGCUCUAGAGCUUAAGUUUUUGUUUUGUAACUGUCGAACUUCAGCUCUAGAGCUAAUGUUUUUGUUUGAACUGGCGAAGAGCUGAAGUUUUUGUUU
Molecule: long non-coding RNA, 1298 nt
Filed under: Nicotiana tabacum (common tobacco)
Lineage: Eukaryota; Viridiplantae; Streptophyta; Magnoliopsida; Solanales; Solanaceae
Description: long non-coding RNA (NTAB_LNC014690)
Source: RNAcentral